CCUUGUGUAUCUACUUUACCUUACCUCAUUUUCUUCGGAAAAUCCCUUUGUCAGGUAAGUCGUGGACAAUUCUCUGAAGUGCAGCAGAACCGCAGAGCAGCACUGCUUUUGCUUCUUAGGAAGCCGGGCCGUGUUAGCCCUGAGGAUAGUGUGGUACAACUCUGUUGGAAAUUCAUGAUGGGUGCCCUUGAUCUCCUGCGGGGGUUACGCUCAUUAUGGAGGACUGGGACAAUAGAGGCAAACUGCGACAUGAGGCGCCUCGAGCUCCUCUGUCACACACCUGAUAUCUUUGCUGGGAGGCUGUGACAGCAUUUGGCAGGUUGGCAGAUGAAACACCACAUGGUCGGCUUCCCAGUUUUUCUGGGGGUGCCGUUUCUGCCCCCUCGCUGCUGCCACUGCAAGACACAGGCCCUGAAAAGCCUCUGGGCAACUGCCCACCCAUUCUAACUCCCAUGCAAAAGCUGGCCCAAGAAGCUAAACGACAUGGGGAAUUAGUUGCUUGCCCUGUUUUGCAUCAACAAGAGACCUGCUUUUCAAGUUUGCAAUACUCUGUUUAAAAAGUUAAGGCUGUCAAGGAACAUGGACUUAAAAGCACUUUUGUAAUUGGCAUUAUUUAGGGUAUUGGUUACAAACUGUUGCUUCAAUUGUGGUCUCUUUUGCCCUUCAACUAAAUGUUUCUGAAUUUGUAGAUCAGCCAAUUGUCUUGCCCUAUGUCUCCUCUAAGCGCGUGCUGUUACUCGUGAAAAUCAAGGGUUUGGCUCUACUGUGGUGGCUGCUGCCACUCUCCUGGAGGACGAAUGAAUGCCCAAGCCUCGCCUUAGCUGUUGACAACCUUUCCUUUUCAGGUUUUAGCUCCUCUAUUCGAUGCUUUAUGGGGUCGCACGGAUCCCGCUGACGCGACCUCUCCUCUGCAGCAGGCCCUUCGAAGUGCUGCUCACACGCUCACCUCACUGCAGCAGGAGCCCAGCAGUCCUUUCCAAGAUCCUUUUCUAUGAGAUCGCUGCUAAUGGGUCUACGACAAGACAAAUCCGGCUGGUUGGUUUACAGUGGUAAAUUCUAAUUGCACAGGAAUGGACGCAGGACUCCUUCUCCCCAGUGACAUCAUGUGGUCAAGGCCUCGUGUAUGGAGAGAAGCCAGACACCAACUCCACGGGAUGGUGGCACCUGUAACCCCCCAGGGCCGC
Long non-coding RNA from Cavia porcellus (domestic guinea pig), 1184 nucleotides. RefSeq lists it as uncharacterized. The transcript has 3 exons. The record is from RefSeq and is a predicted model, not a curated record. NCBI's taxonomy places the organism in Eukaryota, Metazoa, Chordata, Mammalia, Rodentia, Caviidae.